Molecule: ribosomal RNA, 614 nt
Filed under: uncultured bacterium
Lineage: Bacteria
Description: bacterial SSU rRNA
Rfam family: Bacterial small subunit ribosomal RNA
Source: RNAcentral
CCUACGGGAGGCAGCAGUAAGGAAUAUUGGUCAAUGGAGGCAACUCUGAACCAGCCAUGCCGCGUGCAGGAUGACGGCCCUAUGGGUUGUAAACUGCUUUUAUACAAGAGAAAACCCUGGUACGUGUACCAGGUUGAUAGUAUUGUAAGAAUAAGCAUCGGCUAACUUCGUGCCAGCAGCCGCGGUAAGACGAAGGAUGCAAGCGUUAUCCGGAUUCAUUGGGUUUAAAGGGUGCGUAGGCGGACUGAUAAGUCAGUGGUGAAAUCUCUUUGCUUAACAAAGAAACUGCCAUUGAUACUGUCGGUCUAGAGUAUAGAUGACGUUGGCGGAAUAUGACAUGUAGUGGUGAAAUACUUAGAUAUGUCAUAGAACACCGAUUGCGAAGGCAGCUAACGAAACUAUAACUGACGCUGAGGCACGAAAGUGCGGGGAUCAAACAGGAUUAGAUACCCUGGUAGUCCGCACCGUAAACGAUGAUUACUCGUUGUUGGCGAUAUGACAGUCAGCGACCAAGCGAAAGCGAUAAGUAAUCCACCUGGGGAGUACGCCGGCAACGGUGAAACUUAAAUGAAUUGACGGCUUGAGACGNGCGAGGACGACGACGAGGGAGGAGG